GCAAUUCACUAAAAAAGGUUCUGAAAAAAUAUGUCUCAGAUUACAGAAGAGUUAUUAAAUCAGUUGUCAUGCUCUGUGCAUUGUUAGGAGUACACCUGCAGUUCUGUUUGCUAUCCUGGCUGUGUUAUGUGACAGGCCUUUGCUUAACCUGAAUUGACUUCAUUAAGAACAGUUAGCUGGAAUGAGAAGGGUUGGACUGAUAUGUAAAUAUUUUAUUUCCUGUUGUUUGCAGGCAAGACCGGGCUUGUUACCAAAUGUGGCAUGGCUUUCAAGACUCACUCUUUUUCCUGUAGCUUCUCAGUACUGUUUAAUGUUCAACCGAGAUGUGCCAGUACAUGUUGGAGGCUGACCUGCUGGAAAGCAGCUCUGCAGAGAAGGACCUGAGAGUCCUGGCAGACAACAGAUUGACCCUG
Molecule: long non-coding RNA, 413 nt
Filed under: Struthio camelus australis
Lineage: Eukaryota; Metazoa; Chordata; Aves; Struthioniformes; Struthionidae
Description: lncRNA (ENSSCUG00000007437.1)
Source: RNAcentral